AUUGAACGCUGGCGGCAGGCUUAACACAUGCAAGUCGAGCGGGGGAAGGUAGCUUGCUACCGGACCUAGCGGCGGACGGGUGAGUAAUGCUUAGGAAUCUGCCUAUUAGUGGGGGACAACAUCUCGAAAGGGAUGCUAAUACCGCAUACGUCCUACGGGAGAAAGCAGGGGAUCUUCGGACCUUGCGCUAAUAGAUGAGCCUAAGUCGGAUCAGCUAGUUGGUGGGGUAAAGGCCUACCAAGGCGACGAUCUGUAGCGGGUCUGAGAGGAUGAUCCGCAAGACUGGGACGGAGACACGGCCCAGACUCCUACGGGAGGCAGCAGUGGGGAAUAUUGGACAAUGGGGGGAACCCCGAUCCAGCCAUGCCGCGUGUGUGAAGAAGGCCUUAUGGUUGUAAAGCACUUUAAGCGAGGAGGAGGCUACUCUAGUUAAUACCUAGGGAUAGUGGACGUUACUCGCAGAAUAAGCACCGGCUAACUCUGUGCCAGCCGCCGCCGUAA
This 501-nucleotide ribosomal RNA is filed under the name uncultured bacterium. RNAcentral's name for it is "partial 16S ribosomal RNA". It matches the Rfam family "Bacterial small subunit ribosomal RNA", at positions 30 to 523 of the family's 1533-position model. The record is from RNAcentral.